RNAcentral lists this long non-coding RNA (769 nucleotides) under Mus pahari (shrew mouse). RNAcentral describes it as "predicted gene 15392 (MGP_PahariEiJ_G0003636.1)". The record is from RNAcentral. Lineage: Eukaryota; Metazoa; Chordata; Mammalia; Rodentia; Muridae.
AGCUCUUAAUAGGGCCAGUGCGAAGUCUUAAGUACAAAGGUGCUUGCCGCUAAGCCUGAAGACCUGAGUUCUGUUCCCGGAGCUCACAUGGUGUGAGCAGAGAACUGACUCCCACUAGCUGUCCUCUGACCUCCACAUAUGUACAAUGCCUCCCCUCCACAAUAAAAUGUAAAAUGGAAUAAGAAAAGAAAGAAAGAAGCAGACAAAGGCUCUUACCUCCUUUUCCAGAAUGUUCUGCAUGUGUGUGGGCGCUUGUGGACACACUGGCUGUUCAUCAGCACUUAAACUUGCUCAAGUCUGCUGAGCUAAAACCCCAUUCAGCCUCCAGCCUCUAGCCCUGACAGCCAGGCCUGCUCAGUGCCUCCGCCCUUCAAGCCUCAGCCUCUCUCCACUUGACAAAUGCUGUAUCCCAGCUCCCUCCCAGUUGGAAGACUCCUGCCAGGAAGAAUUGGGGUAGGCUGUGGGCCAGGGCUCAGGAGACCUAGGAAGAAAACAAACCACAUUCUGGGAAAGCUGAAAUUUACAAGAAUCACUAGGUCCCUCCCCAAGGAAGCAGCAGACAACUGCUGGGGGAGGACACUGACCAGCCAUGAUGCUGCCUAGCAACCAUGUCAGGGAGACUGCCACCUGUCUAGCGGCCUGCAAAUGGUGCAGGGGCUCCAGGGUUGCACUUUCAUGAGUUGUCACUUGUGUUACAGAGGGCUUUUUGGUAUCACCCCUGCUCUGUGUAAGUCAGCCCUCACCAAAGGUCGGGUCAGAAGUAACUGCA